RNAcentral lists this ribosomal RNA (649 nucleotides) under Vibrio harveyi. RNAcentral's name for it is "bacterial SSU rRNA". It matches the Rfam family "Bacterial small subunit ribosomal RNA", at positions 77 to 714 of the family's 1533-position model. The record is from RNAcentral. Lineage: Bacteria; Pseudomonadati; Pseudomonadota; Gammaproteobacteria; Vibrionales; Vibrionaceae.
CCUUCGGGGAACGAUAACGGCGUCGAGCGGCGGACGGGUGAGUAAUGCCUAGGAAAUUGCCCUGGUGUGGGGGAUAACCAUUGGAAACGAUGGCUAAUACCGCAUAAUACCUACGGGUCAAAGAGGGGGACCUUCGGGCCUCUCGCGUCAGGAUAUGCCUAGGUGGGAUUAGCUAGUUGGUGAGGUAAUGGCUCACCAAGGCGACGAUCCCUAGCUGGUCUGAGAGGAUGAUCAGCCACACUGGAACUGAGACACGGUCCAGACUCCUACGGGAGGCAGCAGUGGGGAAUAUUGCACAAUGGGCGCAAGCCUGAUGCAGCCAUGCCGCGUGUGUGAAGAAGGCCUUCGGGUUGUAAAGCACUUUCAGUCGUGAGGAAGGUAGUGUAGUUAAUAGCUGCAUUAUUUGACGUUAGCGACAGAAGAAGCACCGGCUAACUCCGUGCCAGCAGCCGCGGUAAUACGGAGGGUGCGAGCGUUAAUCGGAAUUACUGGGCGUAAAGCGCAUGCAGGUGGUUUGUUAAGUCAGAUGUGAAAGCCCGGGGCUCAACCUCGGAAUAGCAUUUGAAACUGGCAGACUAGAGUACUGUAGAGGGGGGUAGAAUUUCAGGUGUAGCGGUGAAAUGCGUAGAGAUCUGAAGGAAUACCGGUG